RNAcentral lists this transfer RNA (76 nucleotides) under Dipodomys ordii (Ord's kangaroo rat). It matches the Rfam family "tRNA", at positions 7 to 64 of the family's 71-position model. Rfam says of the family: Transfer RNA (tRNA) molecules are approximately 80 nucleotides in length. Their secondary structure includes four short double-helical elements and three loops (D, anti-codon, and T loops). Further hydrogen bonds mediate the characteristic L-shaped molecular structure. tRNAs have two regions of fundamental functional importance: the anti-codon, which is responsible for specific mRNA codon recognition, and the 3' end, to which the tRNAs corresponding amino acid is attached (by aminoacyl-tRNA synthetases). tRNAs cope with the degeneracy of the genetic code in two manners: having more than one tRNA (with a specific anti-codon) for a particular amino acid; and 'wobble' base-pairing, i.e. permitting non-standard base-pairing at the 3rd anti-codon position. Lineage: Eukaryota; Metazoa; Chordata; Mammalia; Rodentia; Heteromyidae. The record is from Rfam by way of RNAcentral.
AUGGCUCAGUGGUAGAGUGCUAGCCUUGAGUGAAAAAGCUAAGCAAGAGCUUGAGACCCUGAGUUCAAGACUCAGU